AGGGAAGAGCGACUACGAGGUUGCUUUGCCACCGGGGUACCACGUGCAAGGCGCAAAGUACUCAAAGUCGAGUCAUAAGCUCACAGUGAAGCUUGUGAAAAAGUGAUUUAAUGAAUGAAUUCUAAUUUGUUU
This 132-nucleotide non-coding RNA is filed under the name Chloropicon mariensis. The record is from RNAcentral. Lineage: Eukaryota; Viridiplantae; Chlorophyta; Chloropicophyceae; Chloropicales; Chloropicaceae.